Molecule: ribosomal RNA, 806 nt
Filed under: Corynebacterium sp. YIM 101421
Lineage: Bacteria; Bacillati; Actinomycetota; Actinomycetes; Mycobacteriales; Corynebacteriaceae
Description: bacterial SSU rRNA
Rfam family: Bacterial small subunit ribosomal RNA
Source: RNAcentral
CAUGACAGUCGACGGAAAGGUCCUGCUUGCAGGGUACUCGAGUGGCGAACGGGUGAGUAACACGUGGGUGAUCUGCCUCGUACUUCGGGAUAAGCUUGGGAAACUGGGUCUAAUACCGGAUAUAACCUUCCUUUAGUGUGGGGGGUGGAAAGUUCUUUCGGUACGAGAUGAGCCCGCGGCCUAUCAGCUUGUUGGUGGGGUAAUGGCCUACCAAGGCGUCGACGGGUAGCCGGCCUGAGAGGGUGGACGGCCACAUUGGGACUGAGAUACGGCCCAGACUCCUACGGGAGGCAGCAGUGGGGAAUAUUGCACAAUGGGCGCAAGCCUGAUGCAGCGACGCCGCGUGGGGGAUGACGGCCUUCGGGUUGUAAACCUCUUUCGCUAGGGACGAAGCCAUCCUUUGGGGGUGGUGACGGUACCUGGAUAAGAAGCACCGGCUAACUACGUGCCAGCAGCCGCGGUAAUACGUAGGGUGCGAGCGUUGUCCGGAAUUACUGGGCGUAAAGAGCUCGUAGGUGGUUUGUCGCGUCGUCUGUGAAAUUCCGGGGCUUAACUCCGGGCGUGCAGGCGAUACGGGCAAUACUUGAGUGCUGUAGGGGAGACUGGAAUUCCUGGUGUAGCGGUGAAAUGCGCAGAUAUCAGGAGGAACACCAAUGGCGAAGGCAGGUCUCUGGGCAGUAACUGACGCUGAGGAGCGAAAGCAUGGGUAGCGAACAGGAUUAGAUACCCUGGUAGUCCAUGCCGUAAACGGUGGGCGCUAGGUGUAGGGGUCUUCCACGACUUCUGUGCCGUAGCUAACGCAUUAA